This 770-nucleotide ribosomal RNA is filed under the name uncultured Acidobacteriota bacterium. RNAcentral describes it as "bacterial SSU rRNA". It matches the Rfam family "Bacterial small subunit ribosomal RNA", at positions 76 to 878 of the family's 1533-position model. The record is from RNAcentral. Lineage: Bacteria; Pseudomonadati; Acidobacteriota.
GGAGCAAUCUUGUGAGUAAAGUGGCGUACGGGUGAGUAACACGUGGAUCAUCUACCCUUUUGUGGGGGAUAACUCUGGGAAACCGGAGCUAAUACCGCAUAAGUCCGAGAGGAGAAAGCAGCAAUGCGCAGGAGGAGGAGUCCGCGGCCGAUUAGUUAGUUGGCAGGGUAAAAGCCUACCAAGACAAAGAUCGGUAGCCGGCCUGAGAGGGCACACGGCCACACUGGCACUGAAACACGGGCCAGACUCCUACGGGAGGCAGCAGUGGGGAAUCUUGCACAAUGGGGGCAACCCUGAUGCAGCGACGCCGCGUGAGCGAUGAAGCCCUUCGGGGUGUAAAGCUCUUUCGGCAGGGAAGAUUAUGACGGUACCUGCAGAAGCAGCUGCGGCUAACUACGUGCCAGCAGCCGCGGUAAUACGUAGGCAGCAAGCGUUGUUCGGAGUUACUGGGCGUAAAGGGUGUGUAGGCGGUUCUCUAAGUCUGGUGUGAAAUCUCCCGGCUCAACUGGGAGGGUGCGCCGGAAACUGGGGGGCUAGAGUGCGGGAUGGGUAAGUGGAAUUCCUGGUGUAGCGGUGAAAUGCGUAGAUAUCAGGAGGAACACCUGUGGUGUAGACGGCUUACUGGACCGCAACUGACGCUGAGACACGAAAGUGUGGGUAGCAAACAGGAUUAGAUACCCUGGUAGUCCACGCCCUAAACGAUGCAUAUUUGGUGUGGGCCAUUCAUUUGGUCUGUGCCGGAGCUAACGCGUUAAAUAUGCCGCCUGGGG